RNAcentral lists this transfer RNA (72 nucleotides) under Bos taurus (domestic cattle). It matches the Rfam family "tRNA". Rfam says of the family: Transfer RNA (tRNA) molecules are approximately 80 nucleotides in length. Their secondary structure includes four short double-helical elements and three loops (D, anti-codon, and T loops). Lineage: Eukaryota; Metazoa; Chordata; Mammalia; Artiodactyla; Bovidae. The record is from Rfam by way of RNAcentral. RNAcentral also lists the same sequence under 1 other name.
UCACUGGUGGCUCAGACGGUAAAGCAUCUGCCUACAAUGCAGGAGACCUGGGUUCGAUCCCUGGGUGGGGAA